RNAcentral lists this ribosomal RNA (245 nucleotides) under uncultured bacterium. RNAcentral describes it as "partial small subunit ribosomal RNA". It matches the Rfam family "Bacterial small subunit ribosomal RNA", at positions 26 to 285 of the family's 1533-position model. The record is from RNAcentral.
AGAAUCAACGCUGGCGGCGUGCCUAACACAUGCAGGUCGCACGAGAAAGGGACUUCGGUCCUGAGUAAAGUGGCGCACGGGUGAGUAACACGUGAAUCAUCUACCUCCGAGUGGGGAAUAACCUAGAGAAAUCUGGGCUAAUACCGCAUAACACUUACGAGUCAAAGCAGCAAUGCGCUUGGAGAGGAGUUCGCGGCAGAUUAGUUAGUUGGCGGGGUAAUGGCCCACCAAGACGAUGAUCUGUA